This 445-nucleotide long non-coding RNA is filed under the name Ursus americanus (American black bear). RNAcentral's name for it is "lncRNA (ENSUAMG00000024093.1)". Lineage: Eukaryota; Metazoa; Chordata; Mammalia; Carnivora; Ursidae. The record is from RNAcentral.
AUGGCUGGGGCGUCAUGGUGUCGCAUCGCUCCGGGGAGACUGAAGAUACCUUCAUUGCUGACCUGGUGGUGGGACUUUGCACUGGGCAGAUCAAGACGGGGGCCCCUUGCCGAUCGGAGCGCUUGGCUAAAUACAACCAGAUCCUCAGAAUUGAAGAGGAACUGGGUAGCAAGGCUAAGUUCGCCGGCAGAAACUUCAGAAACCCCCUCGCCAAAACUGCUGCAGAAGCCACUUGACCAUCUGGAACCCUGUUGGAAACCCGAGCUCUGUAAUCGUGUGAUUGGCCCAAAUCAUUGUUCUCACCUCAUCUCCCACCCAGUGUCUGGAGCCAAGUCUAUCUACUUUAUAAUCUCGAGGUGUCCACAGGCAAGAUCCCCAGUGGUUUUGUGUGUAGAAUAAAAAGGCCUCAGUGACCCAUAGGAAUGCCGUGUGUGCGUGUGUGUAU